This 89-nucleotide transfer RNA is filed under the name Clostridiales bacterium. RNAcentral describes it as "tRNA-Leu". It matches the Rfam family "tRNA". Rfam says of the family: Transfer RNA (tRNA) molecules are approximately 80 nucleotides in length. Their secondary structure includes four short double-helical elements and three loops (D, anti-codon, and T loops). Further hydrogen bonds mediate the characteristic L-shaped molecular structure. tRNAs have two regions of fundamental functional importance: the anti-codon, which is responsible for specific mRNA codon recognition, and the 3' end, to which the tRNAs corresponding amino acid is attached (by aminoacyl-tRNA synthetases). tRNAs cope with the degeneracy of the genetic code in two manners: having more than one tRNA (with a specific anti-codon) for a particular amino acid; and 'wobble' base-pairing, i.e. permitting non-standard base-pairing at the 3rd anti-codon position. RNAcentral also lists the same sequence under 1 other name. Lineage: Bacteria; Bacillati; Bacillota; Clostridia; Eubacteriales. The record is from RNAcentral.
GCAGAUGUGGCGGAACUGGCAGACGCACAGGACUUAAAAUCCUGCGGGACUUACCUCCCGUGCCGGUUCGAUUCCGGCCAUCUGCACCA